This 1084-nucleotide long non-coding RNA is filed under the name Anas platyrhynchos platyrhynchos (common mallard). RNAcentral's name for it is "lncRNA (ENSAPLG00000019556.1)". The record is from RNAcentral. Lineage: Eukaryota; Metazoa; Chordata; Aves; Anseriformes; Anatidae.
AAAACGCUGCCUCAGGUGCGCCACCAUGGUAGCCAUUGGCACCUGCUAUUCUUCAGCCCUCAGCAAACCUACAACAGAAGGAUUCUGUGGAAGACCAUGCAAGGUAGACAACUGUUUAAUGUCCUCCAUCUCAAAGGCAGGUAUGCCAAAGCCCCAGUGGUAGUGCCCUCUUGGAACUCUGAAGUUCCCACUCCUGAAACAGUCUAUGCUGAGAAUGCACAGGCCAGUCCCAAUGAGGUGAUUUUGCCAUUCCUUCCCAGUUAGACUCCCUUCAGCCUCCAGACAGUUAACUGCUGGGAUCCUCCUGUCACUCCAGAAAUACAGGUGGGUUCUACCUCUUUAAGUCUUGAUGGCAUUAGGGUACACUGUGCACCAGUAUCCAGUAGAGCCUGACACAUUUGUGGGUCUGGUGUGCCAGGCCAUUAAACAUGUCCAGUAAACUUGAUUGUUCAGAAACACCAGGAGAAGCAGCCCAAGGGGUGGUUCUGCUGGUGAGGACACGUUUGUGGCAGCAGCCUGAGUGGGCAGCAGCUGUGCGCACAGCUGGCAAGGGGAGGCCAGGAAGCGCAUGCUAAGAGCGCUCCUGCCAGCAGAGCCAAGGUUGGGGCCAAGGCCUAGGGCAGAGGCAGACCCAGGGCAGGGGGCUUCAAGGGCCAUGCUGAGCUCCCUGCCCCUGCAGCAGCCGCACUGGCCCUCAGAAGAUGUGCUGGCCGGCAUGCACUGACAGAUCCUGGCGUGCAUCAGAGAGCAACAAGGAGGGCACUGGGGAGGUCCAGGGCGAGAGAGGCCUAGGAGAACUUUUUGGUACAGAGUACUACAGAAAAAAACAUCGAGUCCCUCAGCCACAUCUCUGCUUUUCCUCCACAUUGCAUCUGGGCUCUUCAUUCCACAACCUCUGCUGUACCGGAAGAGAAAUUAUGAGAAACAAGAGUCACAGAAAAUGACUACCUGCUGGUUAUUUUAUUUGGUUAGUUACAAAGCUUACCAGCACCUGCAAAUCAGGUCUUUGGGUUAAAAAACAAUGACAACAACAACAAAAGGUCAAAGAAGUGAGAUGGAGAAAAAUGUUUUUAUUGGACUAGUA